AGUGAACGCUGGCGGCGUGCUUAACACAUGCAAGUCGAACGAGAACGGAUUAUAGCUUGCUAUAAUUGUCAGCUAAGUGGCGCACGGGUGAGUAAUAUAUAGGUAACGUGCCCCAAAGAAGAGGAUAACAGUUGGAAACGAUUGCUAAGACUCUAUAUGCCUUUAUGACAUAAGUCAGCAAGGGAAAUAUUUAUAGCUUUGGGAUCGGCCUGUACAGUAUCAGUUAGUUGGUGAGGUAAUGGCUCACCAAGACAAUGACGCUUAACUGGUUUGAGAGGAUGAUCAGUCACACUGGAACUGAGACACGGUCCAGACUCCUACGGGAGGCAGCAGUGGGGAAUAUUGCACAAUGGACGAAAGUCUGAUGCAGCAACGCCGCGUGGAGGAUGACACAUUUCGGUGCGUAAACUCCUAUUAUAUAGGAAGAUAAUGACGGUACUAUAUGAAUAAGCACCGGCUAACUCCGUGCCAG
This 472-nucleotide ribosomal RNA is filed under the name uncultured bacterium. RNAcentral describes it as "bacterial SSU rRNA". It matches the Rfam family "Bacterial small subunit ribosomal RNA", at positions 29 to 511 of the family's 1533-position model. The record is from RNAcentral.